UAAGGAAUAUUGGACAAUGGAGGCAACACUGAUCCAGCCAUGCCGCGUGAAGGAAUAAGGCCCUAUGGGUUGUAAACUUCUUUUAGACGGGACAAAACCCCUUUACGUGUAAAGGGUUGAUGGUACUGUCAGAAUAAGCAUCGGCUAACUUCGUGCCAGCAGCCGCGGUAAUACGAAGGAUGCAAGCGUUAUCCGGAAUUAUUGGGUUUAAAGGGUGCGUAGGCGGACUAAUAAGUCAGUGGUUAAAGCCUGCAGCUUAACUGCAGAAUUGCCAUUGAUACUGUUAGUCUUGAGUACAGUUGAGGUAGGCGGAAUGUGUCAUGUAGCGGUGAAAUGCUUAGAUAUGACACAGAACACCGAUUGCUAAGGCAGCUUGCUAAGCUGUAACUGACGCUGAGGCACGAAAGCGUGGGG
RNAcentral lists this ribosomal RNA (414 nucleotides) under uncultured bacterium. RNAcentral describes it as "bacterial SSU rRNA". It matches the Rfam family "Bacterial small subunit ribosomal RNA", at positions 355 to 766 of the family's 1533-position model. The record is from RNAcentral.